CAGCCAAAGUCCCUUUUUAGUCUGGAUGCCCAUUUGGGCAGAAUCGACUCCGGCAGUCAAAAGUGUGAACUUCGGUAACCGAAAAUCCCCCAACUAUCAAGGGCAUAAAAGGGACCAUAGUUCAUUUCCUACUCAAAACACUUGGGUUUCUUUCUUUUCCCUCUCUCUCUCAACUAUUGAGGCAUACAAGGGGCUCUUUGAAGAGAUCCUUUUGAAAUUUUGAAGAUCCAGAGGUGGAUUCUUCCAUUUGGAAGUGUAGAAAAGUAUAUUUAAGUUUUGAAGUUUUUAUUCUCUCACCUCUAAGCUCCAAGAAAAGAGGUUUUUGACCUAGGAAUUCUAAAAAUUUCCAAGUUCGGUUGCCGAAAGCCAGAGGUUCGACAGUCGAAGCUUGCAUUUUCUCAGAAAAUCUGGAAAUUUUCCAAGUUCGGCAGCUAAAGUCCCAGACUUCGGCAGCUGCAGUGGCUACUGCCCAAAAUGGACACUUAAUGUACUAAGGUUUGGCAGCCAAAACCUAAGGCUCUGGCAGCCAAACUUAGUUCUGUCCACUUUUUUUCUUCUUUGAUGUCAAUAUUCCAAAACCUAAUUUCAUAGUUCCUGAGGGCCUAGAACAGGAUGUUUAUGAUAUGUAUAGAUUUUUAGAACCUUGUGUAACACUCUAAGGUCCGAUUUUAUACGAUCAGGCUUGAGGGACUUGGAAGGGUAAGGAUCCAAGGAUAGCUCUCAUUCGAGUAUGGUGGUUAAUAGGCUACAAGAGGUGCAGGGUUGCAGGACUAGAAGAGUUCCUUAAAGAAAGAGCAUCAGGGGUAGUUUUAGUCCUUUAUUUGUGUAUGAUGUGUGGGUAAAUGGACAUGUAAUUUAUGAAUGGAUAUUACUUUGCUAGUGAUUAAGGUAAUUUGGAAGUAUGUAAUAUUAUUUAAGUAUGAUAAUGUAUAUGUCGUGUAAACCCCUUUUGAGGGUACGCAUGUGGAACCAUUGCACUUUAGAUUUUAUGUGUAUUAAUGUUCAAAUUAUAAACCA
Long non-coding RNA from Hevea brasiliensis (rubber tree), 1017 nucleotides. RefSeq lists it as uncharacterized. Lineage: Eukaryota; Viridiplantae; Streptophyta; Magnoliopsida; Malpighiales; Euphorbiaceae. The transcript has 3 exons. The record is from RefSeq and is a predicted model, not a curated record.